RNAcentral lists this ribosomal RNA (415 nucleotides) under uncultured microorganism. RNAcentral's name for it is "bacterial SSU rRNA". It matches the Rfam family "Archaeal small subunit ribosomal RNA", at positions 330 to 745 of the family's 1478-position model. The record is from RNAcentral.
GUGCAGCAGUCGCGAAACCUCCGCAAUGCGGGAAACCGCGACGGGGGGACCCCGAGUGCCGUGGCAACGCCACGGCUUUUCCGGAGUGUAAAAAGCUCCGGGAAUAAGGGCUGGGCAAGGCCGGUGGCAGCCGCCGCGGUAAUACCGGCGGCCCGAGUGGUGGCCGCUAUUAUUGGGCCUAAAGCGUCCGUAGCCGGGCCCGUAAGUCCCUGGCGAAAUCCCACGGCUCAACCGUGGGGCUUGCUGGGGAUACUGCGGGUCUUGGGACCGGGAGAGGCGGGGGGUACCCCUGGGGUAGGGGUGGAAAUCCUAUAAUCCCAGGGGGACCGCCAGUGGCGAAGGCGCCCCGCUGGAACGGGUCCGACGGUGAGGGACGAAGGCCAGGGGAGCAAACCGGAUUAGAUACCCCGGUAGU